This 404-nucleotide ribosomal RNA is filed under the name uncultured bacterium. RNAcentral's name for it is "partial 16S ribosomal RNA". It matches the Rfam family "Bacterial small subunit ribosomal RNA", at positions 29 to 526 of the family's 1533-position model. The record is from RNAcentral.
AUUGAACGCUGGCGGCAGGCCUAACACAUGCAAGUCGAGCGAGCGGCGGACGGGUGAGUAAUGCCUGGGAAUUGCCCAGUCGAGGGGGAUAACAGUUGGAAACGACUGCUAAUACCGCAUACGAUUGGAUUGCCCAGGUGGGAUUAGCUAGUUGGUGAGGUAAUGGCUCACCAAGGCGACGGUCCCUAGCUGGUCUGAGAGGAUGAUCGGCCACACGGGAACUGGGACACGGUCCAGAUCCCUACGGAAGGCGGAAGGGGGGAAUAUUGCACAAGGGGUGAAACCCGGAUGCAGCAAUGCGGCGGAUGUGAAGAAGGCCUUCGGGUUGUAAAGCACUUUCAGCGAGGAGACGGUACUCGAAGAAGAAGCACCGGCUAACUCCGUGCCAGCAGCCGCGGUAAUAC